UAUCGUACCNAAUGUGUGAGGUGCGUGACGGCUGUUGCUGAUUUCAAAAGUCGUGCACGCCGGAGCGUGUCCUCUCACAUAACACAAUCCAUCUCACCCUUUGUGCACCACCGCGUGGGCAUCCUUUUUGGGAUCAGACCGAUCUCCGAGGGGACUCGCGUUUUCACACAACAACCCCCUUUAAAAAGUGUAGAAUGACCUCAUUUAUGCAAUCAAUACAACUUUCAACAACGGAUCUCUUGGCUCUCGCAUCGAUGAAGAACGCAGCGAAAUGCGAUACGUAAUGUGAAUUGCAGAAUUCAGUGAAUCAUCGAAUCUUUGAACGCACCUUGCGCCCCUUGGUAUUCCGAGGGGCACACCCGUUUGAGUGUCGUGAAAACCUCAACCUCCUUGGUUUCUUUCCGGAGACUGAAGGAGGCUUGGACUUUGGAGGCCUUUGCUGGUGUCUCUCACCAGCUCCUCUUAAAUGAAUUAGCGGGGUCCUCUUUGCCGAUCCUCGACACGUGAUAAGAUGCUUCCGUGUCUCGGUUUCUGGCUCUGUUGCUUUUGGGACCCGCUUCUAACCGUCUGGACCUUGUGUCGAGACAAUGUUCGAGAUNGUCUCCCUUCUCGGGAAACCCCCUCGACCCCACGAACCCUUGGCCUCAAAUCGGGUGAGACUACCCGCUGAACUUAAGCAUAUCAAUAAG
Molecule: ribosomal RNA, 689 nt
Filed under: uncultured fungus
Lineage: Eukaryota; Fungi
Description: eukaryotic LSU rRNA
Rfam family: 5.8S ribosomal RNA (bases 220-373)
Source: RNAcentral